UGUAAAAUCUUAGUGGCGGACGGGUGAGUAACGCGUGGGUAACCCGCCUUACACUGGGGGAUAACACUUAGAAAUAGGUGCUAAUACCGCAUAAGCGCACGAAGCCGCAUGGAUUUGUGUGAAAAACUCCGGUGGUGUAAGAUGGACCCGCGUCUGAUUAGCUUGUUGGCGGGGUAACGGCCCACCAAGGCGACGAUCAGUAGCCGGCCUGAGAGGGUGGACGGCCACAUUGGGACUGAGACACGGCCCAAACUCCUACGGGAGGCAGCAG
Molecule: ribosomal RNA, 271 nt
Filed under: uncultured bacterium
Lineage: Bacteria
Description: partial 16S ribosomal RNA
Rfam family: Bacterial small subunit ribosomal RNA
Source: RNAcentral